UAGCUAGUUGGUGAGGUAAAGGCUCACCAAGGCGACGAUCUGUAGCGGGUCUGAGAGGAUGAUCCGCCACACUGGAACUGAGACACGGUCCAGACUCCUACGGGAGGCAGCAGUGGGGAAUUUUGGACAAUGGGGGCAACCCUGAUCCAGCCAUGCCGCGUGAGUGAAGAAGGCCUUCGGGUUGUAAAGCUCUUUCGGCCGGGAAAAAAUCGCAUAGGUUAAUACCCUGUGUGGAUGAUGGUACCGGAAUAAGAAGCACCGGCUAACUACGUGCCAGCAGCCGCGGUAAUACGUAGGGUGCGAGCGUUAAUCGGAAUUACUGGGCGUAAAGCGUGCGCAGGCGGUUUUGUAAGACAGGUGUGAAAUCCCCGGGCUCAACCUGGGAACUGCGCUUGUGACUGCAAGGCUAGAGUACGGCAGAGGGGGGUGGAAUUCCACGUGUAGCAGUGAAAUGCGUAGAGAUGUGGAGGAACACCAAUGGCGAAGGCAGCCCCCUGGGUCGAUACUGACGCUCAUGCACGAAAGCGUGGGUAGCAAACAGGAUUAGAUACCCUGGUAGUCCACGCCCUAAACGAUGUCAACUAGGUGUUGGGUGGGUAAAACCAUUUAGUACCGUAGCUAACGCGAGAAGUUGACCGCCUGGGGAGUACGGCCGCAAGGUUAAAACUCAAAGGAAUUGACGGGGACCCGCACAAGCGGUGGAUGAUGUGGAUUAAUUCGAUGCAACGCGAAAAACCUUACCUACCCUUGACAUGUCCAGGAGCCCGAAGAGAUUUGGGUGUGCUCGAAAGAGAACUGGAACACAGGUGCUGCAUGGCUGUCGUCAGCUCGUGUCGUGAGAUGUUGGGUUAAGUCCCGCAACGAGCGCAACCCUUGUCGUUAAUUGCCAUCAUUCAGUUGGGCACUUUAACGAGACUGCCGGUGACAAACCGGAGGAAGGUGGGGAUGACGUCAAGUCCUCAUGGCCCUUAUGGGUAGGGCUUCACACGUCAUACAAUGGUCGGUACAAAGGGUUGCCAACCCGCGAGGGGGAGCUAAUCCCAUAAAGCCGAUCGUAGUCCGGAUCGUAGGCUGCAACUCGCCUGCGUGAAGUCGGAAUCGCUAGUAAUCGUGGAUCAGCAUGUCACGGUGAAUACGUUCCCGGGUCUUGUACACACCGCCCGUCACACCAUGGGAGCGGGUUCCGCCAGAAGUAGGUAGCCUAACCGCAAGGGGGGCGCUUACCACGGCGGGGUUCGUGACUGGGGUGAAGUCGUAACAAGGUAGCCGUAGGGGAACCUGCGGCUG
RNAcentral lists this ribosomal RNA (1287 nucleotides) under metagenome. RNAcentral's name for it is "bacterial SSU rRNA". It matches the Rfam family "Bacterial small subunit ribosomal RNA", at positions 242 to 1520 of the family's 1533-position model. The record is from RNAcentral.